RNAcentral lists this ribosomal RNA (218 nucleotides) under uncultured bacterium. RNAcentral's name for it is "partial 16S ribosomal RNA". It matches the Rfam family "Bacterial small subunit ribosomal RNA", at positions 1282 to 1500 of the family's 1533-position model. The record is from RNAcentral.
UAAGUCCCAGUUCGGAUUGAAGGCUGAAAUUCGCCUUCAUGAAGCCGGAAUUGCUAGUAAUGGCAGGUCAGCAUACUGCCGUGAAUACGUUCCCGGGCCUUGUACACACCGCCCGUCACACCAUGAGAGUUGGGAAUACCCGAAGCCUGUGAGCUAACUUUUAGAGGCAGCAGUCGAAGGUAGAAUCAAUGAUUGGGGUGAAGUCGUAACAAGGUAAC